RNAcentral lists this long non-coding RNA (426 nucleotides) under Salmo salar (Atlantic salmon). RNAcentral describes it as "lncRNA (ENSSSAG00000107183.1)". The record is from RNAcentral. Lineage: Eukaryota; Metazoa; Chordata; Actinopteri; Salmoniformes; Salmonidae.
UCUGCUUGAUUUCCAGUAGGGUCUCGUUAGUCCGUUUGACACAGAGAUACUUACCUCAUAAUGUGUAGAGAACUGUUCCUUGAUGGAUAGGCUACUGUACAACACACAGAGCUAUUUUCCUUUAUUCAGGACAUUUAGAAUGACAACACAUUACAGAGUAGCCUAGUGGGAUUAUUCACAAAAUGAUCUGGUGAUCAGGUUAUGAAAUGUCAUGACAAAGACAUUUUAGUUUCCAUGUUUCACCUGAGAUAUUUAAUAUAUAGUCCUAGGUCUAUGUUGUUGUUAGGUGAAGUUAUGGGUCCUACAGUAGGUCUAUGUUGUUGUUAGGUGAAGUUAUGGGUCCUACAGUAGGUCUAUGUUGUUGUUAGGUGAUGUUAUGGGUCCUACAGUAGGUCUAUGUUGUUGUUAUGGGUCCUACAGUAGGUC